RNAcentral lists this microRNA precursor (71 nucleotides) under Operophtera brumata (winter moth). RNAcentral describes it as "mir-965 microRNA precursor family". It matches the Rfam family "mir-965 microRNA precursor family". Lineage: Eukaryota; Metazoa; Arthropoda; Insecta; Lepidoptera; Geometridae. The record is from Rfam by way of RNAcentral.
CCUUUCGGGGAAAAAGGCGUGUGUCUAUGUAUGUAUGACAUACAUAAACACAUGUCUUUUUCCCCGAAGAG